This 687-nucleotide long non-coding RNA is filed under the name Pan troglodytes (chimpanzee). Its description in RNAcentral is "long non-coding RNA NONPTRT004031". The record is from RNAcentral. Lineage: Eukaryota; Metazoa; Chordata; Mammalia; Primates; Hominidae.
GGGAGGGGCCCGGGAGAGGAGGGGCGUCUGCCCUUGUUUCCCCCGUUAACGUUUAAUUUGGGAACGAGAUGCCCGGGGAUGCAACCAGCCCCGCGCUCGGAGGCGGCGGCCGGAGUUCCGUGCGCAGAGGGCACACAAAAGCCUUGAGGAUCAUUGCCUCGACCCCAUCCCCCACCGCGCGGCGACGCCCCCUACGGGCUGGGACACCUCCACCCUCGGACUGCUGCCUGGUUUCCCUCCGGCUGCGACCCUGGAGAAUUUGCCAUCUCCCUACCACCACCACCACACACAGCACCCUCAAGACUCCCUGUGAUCCUGGGAUGCACUAAACGAAGAGUGUGUGGCCCAGGAUUUGAUGGAAAUGCUACAAGAGAAGCAGGCUCUCCCCUUCUGAAAUGAUGAGUGAUAAUGACCAUACAGGUCAACUUUUCCACCACUUGGAGGGAGCCUGUCAAAGAACAAAGGCAACAGAGAAGAGAGCAGAGCUGAGGUUGGGUGAGAGGGAGAAAUGCCUGAGUGCUUGAAUCCCACAUGCCGGAAGCCGCACCACAUUUGGACUUCUCAAUACAGGAGCCACUGAGAAACCAAGUUAUGCUGAAGACCUGGAAAUCCCAGCAGGCUGCAAACCAGCUGCAACUACAAUGGGUCAGCCCUUUUGAGAUGCUGCUGACUACCCACUCAUCUGCC